GUGUACCUGCGGAAGGAUCAUU
This 22-nucleotide ribosomal RNA is filed under the name Tuber indicum. RNAcentral's name for it is "partial 18S ribosomal RNA". The record is from RNAcentral. Lineage: Eukaryota; Fungi; Ascomycota; Pezizomycetes; Pezizales; Tuberaceae.